This is a small nuclear RNA of Manis pentadactyla (Chinese pangolin), 103 nucleotides long. The record is from RefSeq and is a predicted model, not a curated record. NCBI's taxonomy places the organism in Eukaryota, Metazoa, Chordata, Mammalia, Pholidota, Manidae.
GUGCUUCAGCAACACAUAUACUAAAAUUGGAAUGAUACAGAGAAGAUUAGCAUGUCCACUGCACAAGGAUGACACAAAAAUUUGUGAAGCUUUCCAUAUUAAA